This 458-nucleotide ribosomal RNA is filed under the name uncultured bacterium. RNAcentral's name for it is "partial 16S ribosomal RNA". It matches the Rfam family "Bacterial small subunit ribosomal RNA", at positions 338 to 795 of the family's 1533-position model. The record is from RNAcentral.
CCUACGGGCGGCAGCAGUGGGGAAUAUUGCACAAUGGGGGAAACCCUGAUGCAGCGACGCCGCGUGAGUGAAGAAGCGUUUCGGCGCGUAAAGCUCUGUCAGCGGGGAAGAAAAACGGUUCGCGAGAGCCGCGGACGGUACCCGACCAAGAAGCCCCGGCUAAAUACGGGCCAGCAGCCGCGGUAAUACGCAGGGGGCAAGCGUUAUCCGGAUUCACGGGGUGUAAAGGGGGCGUAGACGGCGAGACAAGGCUGGAGUGAAAGGCCGGGGCGCAACCCCGGGACUGCUCUGGAAACUGGCUGGCGGGAGUACAGGAGAGGUAAGUGGAAUUCCUAGUGUAGCGGUGAAAUGCGUAGAUAUUAGGAGGAACACCAGUGGCGAAGGCGGCUUACUGGACGGUAACUGACGUUGAGGCUCGAAAGCGUGGGGAGCAAACAGGAUUAGAUACCCUGGUAGUC